GUAGGGAAUAUUGGGCAAUGGAUGCAGGUCUGACCCAGCCAUCCCGCGUGCCGGAAGAAGGCCCUCAGGGUUGUAAACGGCUUUUGACGGUGAAGAAUCGACAGGAUGCGUCCUGUUUUGACGGUAGCCGUUGAAUAAGCACCGGCUAACUCCGUGCCAGCAGCCGCGGUAAUACGGAGGGUGCGAGCGUUGUCCGGAUUUAUUGGGUUUAAAGGGUGCGUAGGCUGGAAGGUCAGUCAGCGGUGAAAAGCUGUCGCUUAACGAUAGUCUUGCCGCAGAUACUUCCUUUCUUGGAUGAGGAGGAGGCCACUGGAACGGAUGGUGUAGCGGUGAAAUGCAUAGAUAUCAUCCAGAACACCGAUUGCGAAGGCAGGUGGCUGUACCUUAAUCGACGCUGAUGCACGAAAGCAUGGGGAGCAAACAGGAUUAGAAACCCGGGUAGUCC
RNAcentral lists this ribosomal RNA (445 nucleotides) under uncultured bacterium. RNAcentral describes it as "partial 16S ribosomal RNA". It matches the Rfam family "Bacterial small subunit ribosomal RNA", at positions 354 to 796 of the family's 1533-position model. The record is from RNAcentral.